GGAAUGGAAGAGUAAGAAGAAAGUUUAUCAAGCUAGGGUUUCGUUGUCCCCCUUUCUUCUUCCCCGAGCUCCGCCUCCAAAUCAGGGGUGACUCUAGAUCGAAUCCAUCCAUUAGCUCGGGUUCUUACGCCUUCCCAGGCCCUCGACGCCCGACGCCGUCCUCCCAGGCCCCCGACGCCGCCAUCUCAGGCUCCCGACGCCGUCCUCCCCGGCUCCCGACGCCGCCAUCUCAGGCUCCCGACGCCGUCCUCCCCGGGCCCUCGACGGCAGCUGCUGGGACGCCCGACGCCGCCCUCCCAGGAUCCCGACUCCGUCCUCGCCGGGCUCUCGGCGGCACCUGCUGGGACGCCCGACGCCGCCCUCCCAGGAUCUCGACUCCGUCCUCCCCGGGCCCUCGACGGCAGCUGCUGGGACGCCCGACGCCGCCCUCCCAGGAUCCCGACUCCGUCCUCCCCGGGCCCUCGACGGCAGCUGCUGGGACGACCUCUCCAAGCCGCCGCACGACGCUGUUCCCUGGCCUUGCCGGACGACCCCGCGGCCAAGCUGCUGGCGUUCGCUCUUCCAAAGCUCCGCCACACAAAACUCCCUCCCUCAACCUUGAGGUCCUUCCCAGCCAGGCGGCCCGCGAUAUCACCCUGAUCGAAACUCACCACCGAAUGAGUUUGCUAAUAGGUUAAAGCUAUGGGUGGCCCGUCGCUGUUCUAGAUCAAUUGUUUAUGUGGAAUUCCGACCAAUAGACCCUGAUGCAGUGUUAGAGCAGUGGAAUACUGUACACCCAAUUCCGGCAGAUCCUGAGGGGGCAGCUUCACCACAGCAGGCUGAGGGGGCAGCAUCACCACAACAGGCUGGGGGUGCUGCAGCAGAACAUGCCAGGAGGGCGGUGGAAAGUGCAAGAACCCUCUCUUGCACUGGUUCCUUUGUGCAUACAGACGGAAUUGACCCCCACCAUUAUGUAUUGACUUCUGCGCAUGCUGUUGCUCCAAUUUUCACCAGCAAUGUACCAAUGACAGCAUGGGACCUUAGUCACUUCUACGAACCACAUGUUCUUUGUUACCACCGUGAGCUGGACCACCAGAAUGGGCACGACAAUGUGAGGGUUUUCGUAAGAGGAUGGGUGGCUUUCUUGAGCUGCGAAAAUGAUCUGCUAAUGAUUCGCGUCACCCAACCCCAUAUGGAGGGGUACUGUCAGCAAGAUCAUCAGCCACUAACAUUUGCUUCUUCAUUUCCAAGACUCCUGAAUGAUGUGGUGAUGGUUUCAUGGCCAGAAGUUGGGAGAAGAUUGGCCGCUGUUUCUGGGGAGGUCUCCUACCCAAAUCGCCAUAUUGAUCUUUUAGAUGAAGUUAAUGUGUUUGGAUUUACUAUGGAACUCUCUGAGGUGAAUAUCACAUCGGAGAGUGGAAGUUUAGGGGCACCGUUACUUGACGGCGAGGGCAAUGUGGUUGGAGUACUGCAUGGUGGGAAUGGGCGGUUCUCCUUUUUCAUCUCUCUUGGUGACCUCAGGGAAGUUCUUAAUCAGUGGGGUUUCAUUCUUGCAGUUCCUGCUUAAGCUCCGCUGAAUCUGUCAAUUGUCUGUUCCACUUUGACUAUGCUAUGAUUGAAUUCACAGAACUUUUAGGGGUGGUUUCUAGGAAUUUUAAAUUGCUGCUGUAUCUUUACAAAUUGGAGUAGCUUUUGUUGAUUUUUUUCCUUGCAGUAAUCUAAGACAAUGGAUGUGGAUGGACAUUGAACAAGCAGACAUAUGUUUUCUGAAAUUCCUGUUAUGAAUGGAAAUUGCAAAGACAUUUGGACCUCAAGUUAUGAAAAAACAAUUCUAGGGAUAACUGAAGUUGCUAGUAUGAAUAAAGACACAUGAAUUUGCAUUUUUCUUUACCACAUGUAAGCAUAUUGCACCACUUCGUUUCAAUAGCAGAGGUCACGGGAUACUAAUAUAUAGUGUUUAGUUAAGUUCUUGUCUGUAGAAGCAUGAGUGUUGGGUUGGCUGGCCUGGGUUUCACCACCAACCAUUGUGUAAGAAUGUACUCCCUCCGUUCCUAAAUAUUUGUCUUUCUAGAGGUUUCAAAUGGUGACUACAUACGGAACAAAAUGAGUGAAUCUACACUCUAAAAUAUGUCUAUAUACAUCCGUAUGCGGUGACUAUUUGAAAUCUCUAAAAAGACAAAUAUUUAGGAACGGAGGGAGUAGAUCGCAACCAUAUCAAAACUGUGGGAUGAUCUUUAUUAAUAAAUUGUUGUCAAGAGUUGGGCUAAAACAAUUGUGAUGUGAACCCUCUUCUCUCAAAUUUAUUCACUUGUAUUGCGACCCAUUUUCAACCUAGUAUAGUAAUACCAGUAAGAGCUGCUUCUGAAGUGUCUGUCAGCCUAACACACACCAGUCUAUCGGUUAUGAGGUACUUCUCAUGGGUUCACUUGGUGAGAUAAAUUUGAUUAUAUGGAAGUUUGGUGAAGGCAAAACCAGAAUCAAUUCGAGGACAUGGCUCCAGGUUAGUACUUUACUACAGCAGGCCGUAAGAAACAACACCUUUCCUUUUGAAUUUCUCAGCCCCCUGCACCUCCACAGCUGCAUCAACCUCAAGACUCAUAUGCUUGUAGAUAGCCUGUUUAGAGCAAACAAGGAAUCAAGAACGAUUUGAUCCUCACAACUCAUAAGCUUGUAGACAGCCUGUUUAGAGCAAUUAAGGAAUCAAGAACAAUUUGAUUCACAAAUUCUUAUUUGGCGUGCGUGCACUGCACUGCUUAGCAGUGUGUGGCCCCCCUUUUUAGGGUUGUACUCGGACUGUGGGGUUGCACUUUCAGAGGUCAUUGUCUCCCCAUUUUAUUUCCGCCCUUGCAACCGCUUGGUCUGCUUCAAGGUGGAGACCAAGGCAAUCCAGCUCUUGUGGUUGGUGCUAGCCGAGCUCGCUAUCUCAAUGAGCCGCCCAGAGACAUGGAGUGAAGGGGGAUUGUUCUUAGGGUUUGGUGAUAUCCGUUGGAUCCUUUGUGCGAGAAAGCAAAUCCAAGACGAAACCCUCAUGUGUAUGGUUUUGGCAUUUGUGCUCUUAAGUUCAAUUGGGGCAAUUUUGCCUUUUGAUUUCUUCUAUAGAUUUGUUUCCACAAUUCACUUUUGUCUGCCUGAUUCCUUGGUUCUAUGCAACCAAGUCCAGGUUAGUCAAUUGCCCCUAUCUCGCUGUUAUUAUUUUUUUGUUUAAUUGUGUUAUUGGUGAUGUGGUUUUUCUUCAUUGUUUUUUUUCUAGCUGUUCUCUUCUAAUUUGUGUGAUUUUCUUCAGUAGGCAGCCAAAUUCAAGUGAGUGGAUUCAGCUGUUCAAGUAUACUCCAUAAUACUGGAUUUUAUUAGAAAAAGAUGAGUAUCAGUGAUCGGAAUGAUUGAACUGCAGUACACUGCAAAGAAAUUUGGAUUACGAGAAGGGCAUAUAUCAUGUAAAAUUUACUCCCUCCGUUCCUAAAUAUAAGUCUUUUUAGACAUUUCAAAUGGACUGCAACAUACGGAUGUAUGUAGACAUAUUUUAGAGUGUAGAUUCACUCAUUUUGCUCCGUAUGUAGUCACUUGUUGGAAUCUCUAGAAAGACUUAUAUUUAGAAACGGCGGGAGUACAUAUGUUCGUCACAUUUGUUGUCCACUCAUUGGGUUCCGUUCAAUCAAUUGUGUGAUCUAUGCUCUGUGCAGUGCAUAUGCGUGCUAGGUUUCUGGCCGUGCUUAAAGCUGUUGAUUUUUUUUAUUAAUCGCAUUUAGCGGCGAGGGGAGUUUUGGCUCUCGGGUCCAGAUGGACCCGAAAUCUCUGCCACUCAUAGAUGCGUCGCGAUCUGUGCCAGAGGUCAAUGUCACGGCGAUACAGAAUUCUGAAAAGAUUUAUACGCUGGCCUGUCUGACGCACAUACAGACGGUGGGUGGGUCAGAGUUUGACGGCCGUCUCCUGGAUAACGCUCGCUACACACCUGUACUCUGGGCGCCUGGUACAGGUGUCUGGUGUUCAUGGCGAUGGCCGUCGGUAUUGAAAUUCUUGUGAAUAAGCCAGGGUCGAGCUCGGCGGCGCCGGCAUAGAGGUCAGACGACGAGGCCGGCCGGAGGGGUUGCGCAGCAGCCUGAUGGAUCAAAGAACGCUGGCGUUGAAGAUGGCGGCCGACUUCCCCGUAGCUCCAGUGGACAGGUUACAUAUUUUCGCGGACGAGGCGUGCAGCGCUGCAAUUUUGAUGGAGAUGGUGCAGGCGGUAGGUCCGGCCGAAGUUCAUUCAGUCGGCGGAUCUAGAUGGGGAAUGGUUGAUGCUGGGGUCAGCGUUGUGGCCGGAUUCAGCGGUGCAGCGUACGGCGAGCAAGUCAGGGUGGAUGCCGGAGGUGUUGUGGUGUCUGAUUUGAAUGAGAGCGAGGAGGAUAACGCUGAUGCAUUUGAGCAAGGAGCGCAAGUGGAUGGGAUCCACGCCAUGGAUUCUGUGAUUGCAGACCAAGCGGAGAGUGAAGAUGCUGCUUCUGUACAUUCUACAGGGAAGAUUGAUCCACAAGCCCCAGGAUGGACAAGAAGGGUUAGGGUUGGGAAACAACCACCUGACCGCGCACCAUGCCUGGACAGGGGAUGUGCACUAGAGCAGACUAUCAGAGGAAAUGCUGACAAGCUAGGACCAAACGUGAUUGAGCCUGAGAUGCUGAUCCUAAACCUCUGAAAUGUUCGCACAUUUUUCGCAGGCAAAACAACCUAUUGCGACAAGCUCAUGGCAACACUUGCAUCCAACUGUACUUGUUGUGCUGCUAGGGGUUUCUCAGAUUGCCCUUUACGAAUGUGUAAUGCCAAUCCAGCAUCCAAGGCCACCACGGCACCAGAAGAGGCUGCCUGCCCGCCCAGUGCUAACCUACCGACCAUUUACCGAACCCCCGUCUCCACCAAAAUCCAUGGUGUCAGGCUUGAACUCUCUGAAAGUGAAGGCGAAAGUUUUCUCAAAGACUGAAAAAUGCUAAACGGCUGAGGCAUCAGGCUCAAGUUCCUUUAAACAACAUCCAAGAUUGCCAAAACACCUAGCACCGAAUCUGUUACUGAAUUUGGAACAACCGAAGCCAUUUGUUCUGCUGUCCAGCAUUAUGCCCGCUGCAUAUCAGUCUCUGUUAAGGAUAUAUAUGCAGACUGCCAGAUCGACGAACCAUCACUGGUCCUUUUUGGUGUCAGCCAUGUCAGCAUACCUAAAAGGAAGUAUAUAUCGGCAAGGAGUUACGCUACCAACCCAUGGUUUGCAGGUCGCCCAGUCGUUCCAGCUCCUACUUCCACUGCCGAACUUCUCGAAUCUCACUUCGCAUCAUUGUCUGUGAAACACCUUUCAAGGAAUUGGAUACUGCAUAAUGACCCUAGGUUCAUUCGAGUUACAGGGGAAGAGAUAAAAGAUCAGCUCCUUGGCGAUGCCAUGGUCGACCACGAACUUGGAUGUAUCAUUUUGGUCGACCACGAACUUGGAUGUAUCAUUUUGCAGCGCCAGAAGCAGCUUGAUCAUGAAUCAAAUCCUGAUGUACAAUAUCUUAACCACCGACACAUCCUAGAGGUUGAUUUCUCGACAGUUGCUCUAUGUGGCACAAGUAUUUCCGACUUCCUAGAGGUCCAGAACCAAUUCAUUGGCCCAAGUGUCUACCAUGCCAUAGAGGCCUGCCAGCUGUUCUACGUACCAGCUAUACUACGCGACGGAUGGGCAAUCCAAGUUUUUGAUCCUUCAGUCGGUCCCAAAGGAUGCAGCCAGGAUCAGCAGGCUCGACACGAGCUUAUUGCGUCGUGCUUACAUAAUGCAUUGUUCGGGUGCCUGCAUGCUGGGUGGCCAACACGAAAGGAUAACUGGUCUACCAUUUCCCCUGUUUUAUGGAUACCACAAUUACCAGGUUUCCCCUUUGCGUUCCACCUAGAAUUAAGUUCGUUUCCACAUCAAUAAGAACUGCCUAGCACACCACUAAUCCAAACUUUCGUCAUGCACAUCAUUAGGUACCACGAUGGAGAGAGUAUACCGAUCACCAAGAACAACCUUGUGAAAACUAAAAGUACAUUCUGCAAGAAGUUAUGAAGCUCCAGGGGAACAGUUCAUCAUUGCCAGCCGAUGCACUAUGGUCAGUUCAUGCCCCUACCGAUGGUUAUGAAGCUCCAGGGGAACAUUUCAUGCGACCCAUUUAGCGUGCCCACUACGGACAUUCAAUGAAUAUUCAUUUUGUCAAUCCAUGUUGUAUCGCUAUACAUGACUAAGUGUGUAUCGUACAUUUCCUCCAAAACCAUCUACCUAAAUGGACAACCUAUUAUAUUUUUCA
Triticum aestivum (bread wheat) is the source of this 6257-nucleotide RNA transcript. RefSeq lists it as uncharacterized. The transcript has 10 exons. NCBI's taxonomy places the organism in Eukaryota, Viridiplantae, Streptophyta, Magnoliopsida, Poales, Poaceae. The record is from RefSeq and is a predicted model, not a curated record.